RNAcentral lists this ribosomal RNA (519 nucleotides) under Pichia kudriavzevii. Its description in RNAcentral is "partial large subunit ribosomal RNA". It matches the Rfam family "Eukaryotic large subunit ribosomal RNA", at positions 51 to 636 of the family's 3401-position model. Lineage: Eukaryota; Fungi; Ascomycota; Pichiomycetes; Pichiales; Pichiaceae. The record is from RNAcentral.
CGGAGGAAAAGAAACCAACAGGGAUUGCCUCAGUAGCGGCGAGUGAAGCGGCAAGAGCUCAGAUUUGAAAUCGUGCUUUGCGGCACGAGUUGUAGAUUGCAGGUUGGAGUCUGUGUGGAAGGCGGUGUCCAAGUCCCUUGGAACAGGGCGCCCAGGAGGGUGAGAGCCCCGUGGGAUGCCGGCGGAAGCAGUGAGGCCCUUCUGACGAGUCGAGUUGUUUGGGAAUGCAGCUCCAAGCGGGUGGUAAAUUCCAUCUAAGGCUAAAUACUGGCGAGAGACCGAUAGCGAACAAGUACUGUGAAGGAAAGAUGAAAAGCACUUUGAAAAGAGAGUGAAACAGCACGUGAAAUUGUUGAAAGGGAAGGGUAUUGCGCCCGACAUGGGGAUUGCGCACCGCUGCCUCUCGUGGGCGGCGCUCUGGGCUUUCCCUGGGCCAGCAUCGGUUCUUGCUGCAGGAGAAGGGGUUCUGGAACGUGGCUCUUCGGAGUGUUAUAGCCAGGGCCAGAUGCUGCGUGCGGG